Molecule: ribosomal RNA, 497 nt
Filed under: uncultured bacterium
Lineage: Bacteria
Description: partial 16S ribosomal RNA
Rfam family: Bacterial small subunit ribosomal RNA
Source: RNAcentral
GAUGAACGCUGGCGGCGUGCCUAAUACAUGCAAGUCGAGCGAACAGACGAGGAUCUUGCUCCUCUGACGUUAGCGGCGGACGGGUGAGUAACACGUGGAUAACCUACCUAUCAGACUUGGAUAACUUCGGGAAACCGGAGCUCAUGCCGGAUAAUAUAUUGAACCGCAUGGUUCAAUAGUGAAAGACGGUUUUGCUGUUGCUUAUAGAUGGAUCCGCGCCGCAUUAGCUAGUUGGUAAGGUAACGGCUUACCAAGGCAACGUUGCGUAGCCGACCUGAGUGGGUGGUCAGCCACCCUGGGAGGGAGACACGGUCCAGACGCCUACGGGAGGGAGCAGUAGGGAUUCGGGAGCAAGGGGUGGAGACCUGACGGAGCAGCGCGGCGUGAGUGAGGAGGGUCUUCGGAUGGUAGAACACGGUUAUCGGGUAGGAAACAAUGUGUAGCAAGCUAGGCGCGACUGUAAGGUAACCAACAAGAAAGGCGCGGCUAACUUCGGG